AGGGGAAUAGCUCAGUGGUAGAGCGUCUGCUUAGCGUACACAGGGACUUGGGUUCAAUCCCCAGUACCUCCG
RNAcentral lists this transfer RNA (72 nucleotides) under Camelus bactrianus (Bactrian camel). It matches the Rfam family "tRNA". From Rfam's summary of the family: Transfer RNA (tRNA) molecules are approximately 80 nucleotides in length. Their secondary structure includes four short double-helical elements and three loops (D, anti-codon, and T loops). The record is from Rfam by way of RNAcentral. Lineage: Eukaryota; Metazoa; Chordata; Mammalia; Artiodactyla; Camelidae. RNAcentral also lists the same sequence under 2 other names.